AAAGACUAAAAAACAAGAGAUGCAAGGUACAGGUGUAAUAAAAGGAAAAGGAUACUAGACAUUGGUAUUCAGUGUGAUCGAUGGAGAAGAGUUAAAGAAGCUACUGGGAUUGAAAAGGACGAGAAAAUGAUGGAAAUAUUGAUCGAUGCAACUACUUCUGAACUAGAGAGCUUCAACAAUCAUCUUUUGAUGUAUGCUUCAAAGCGAAAUGCUUUCAGCUAUGCUGUUUAUAGGUGCAGGUGUCAGUUAGCAGCAAUAGAUUAUUCAAAACACUUGAAUCGUCCUGUUUUGUUGGACAAAGAAGGAAAUUAGAGGGGAAAGAGUGCACUCAAAAGCUGCUGGUAAUUGGAGCACAAGACCUAUGAAAAAACCCAAGGAGUAUACAUACAUAACCCGUUUGAUCACUGAAGUUACAAAUGAAUUCACCAUAGG
Long non-coding RNA from Dreissena polymorpha, 432 nucleotides. RefSeq lists it as uncharacterized. NCBI's taxonomy places the organism in Eukaryota, Metazoa, Mollusca, Bivalvia, Myida, Dreissenidae. The record is from RefSeq and is a predicted model, not a curated record. The transcript is spliced from 4 exons.